RNAcentral lists this ribosomal RNA (540 nucleotides) under uncultured bacterium. RNAcentral's name for it is "bacterial SSU rRNA". It matches the Rfam family "Bacterial small subunit ribosomal RNA", at positions 355 to 896 of the family's 1533-position model. The record is from RNAcentral.
UGAGGAAUAUUGGUCAAUGGGCGGAAGCCUGAACCAGCCAAGUAGCGUGCAGGAAGACGGCCCUAUGGGUUGUAAACUGCUUUUAUACAAGAAUAAUUUGAUGCACGUGUGCGUUAUUGCAUGUAUCGUAUGAAUAAGGACCGGCUAAUUCCGUGCCAGCAGCCGCGGUAAUACGGAAGGUCCAGGCGUUAUCCGGAUUUAUUGGGUUUAAAGGGAGUGUAGGCGGUUUGUUAAGCGUGUUGUGAAAUUUAGAUGCUCAACAUUUAACUUGCAGCGCGAACUGUCAGACUUGAGUACACGCAACGUAUGCGGAAUUCAUGGUGUAGCGGUGAAAUGCUUAGAUAUCAUGAAGAACUCCGAUUGCGAAGGCAGCAUACGGGAGUGUAACUGACGCUUAAGCUCGAAGGUGCGGGUAUCGAACAGGAUUAGAUACCCUGGUAGUCCGCACAGUAAACGAUGGAUGCCCGCUGUUAGCGCCUGGCGUUAGCGGCUAAGCGAAAGCAUUAAGCAUCCCACCUGGGGAGUACGCCGGCAACGGUG